Molecule: ribosomal RNA, 501 nt
Filed under: uncultured bacterium
Lineage: Bacteria
Description: bacterial SSU rRNA
Rfam family: Bacterial small subunit ribosomal RNA
Source: RNAcentral
UCCUGGCUCAGAGUGAACGCUGGCGGCAGGCCUAAUACAUGCAAGUCGAACGGCAGCACGGCAGAGCUUGCUCUGUGGGUGGCGAGUGGCGGACGGGUGAGGAAUACAUGGGAAUCUGCCCAGUCGUGGGGGAUAACGUAGGGAAACUUACGCUAAUACCGCAUGCGCCCUUCGGGGGAAAGCCGGGGACCUUCGGGCCUGGCGCGAUUGGAUGAGCCCAUGUCGGAUUAGCUAGUUGGCGGGGUAAUGGCCCACCAAGGCGACGAUCCGUAGCUGGUCUGAGAGGAUGAUCAGCCACACUGGAACUGAGACACGGUCCAGACUCCUACGGGAGGCAGCAGUAGGGAAUAUUGGACAAUGGGCGCAAGCCUGAUCCAGCCAUGCCGCGUGAGUGAAGAAGGCCCUCGGGUUGUAAAGCUCUUUUGUCCGGAAAGAAAAGCGCCGGGUUAAUACCCUGGUGUCCUGACGGUACCGGAAGAAUAAGCACCGGCUAACUUCGUG